Long non-coding RNA from Zophobas morio, 662 nucleotides. RefSeq lists it as uncharacterized. The record is from RefSeq and is a predicted model, not a curated record. Lineage: Eukaryota; Metazoa; Arthropoda; Insecta; Coleoptera; Tenebrionidae. The transcript is spliced from 3 exons.
UGUAUGGGUAGUGUUAUAGUUUUUACACUAAUUAUGACACUAUAAAACGGUUAGAACACGUAGGAUCUGGCUAAAAAUUUUAGUGUGGACCGUCUUUUAAUCCAGUGACAGGUGACAUUUAUUCGAUGUUAAAACCGAGUUAACAAGAUACAUUAUCUCGAAUAGGCUUGUGAAACACGCCUAACACAAUUUCACUGAAAACCCUUUCAUUCCGCGGAUCUAUAUUUAAAGCCGUCAUUAAUCGAGUUCCAAAACAAAACGUCCACAAUAAAUUUAAUAUUUCGAUUCAUCGAACAGGCCUUUUCUGUGGGUUCUUGUAUAUGUAUGUGUUUGAUAUUCAGGCAUAAUAGUCGGACCAUUGUAGUCCGAUUUGUCCGUGGCCGAGCGAGUAAGUUAUUUCAAACACAAUAGUUCAUUAGUUUAUCGAAUCAGAUCGGACCAGUCAUUAAUCUUACCUGACUAGAGUUGGCCAAGCAGUCUUUCAGAAUACAGUACAACAUCCAGGUCGAAUAAAAGGGACCACGUUGAAGCAAAGUGCGAGAAAAACGGCAACAAAACGCGAAAAAUCCUCGGUGAAUAUUUUGGACAACUCUACGACUUAAAGCUGCUCAAGAGGAGCUUCGAGAUGACGUUCAAUAUUUAAAAGUAAAGUUCGUUUGGUC